AGGAUAGCAAUUAAACAUGAAAAUCAUAUUCCAGAUUCUAUGGGUUCUGAGCAUUUGCUUCUCGGCCAGUCAGAGUCAAGAAAAGAAUAAUGGAUUCAAUCAAAGACGACAGUUGCAUUCAUCUGGUCGAGAUCUAGCUCGAUCACAAUCUGCUAAAGCCAAGCCUCUUCCAAAUUCAAAUCCACCAAGAUCCAUCUUGCCUCAGUAUCACCAAAACUUAGCUAGCCAGUCACUAAGCAGAUCAACCAAUUCAAAGUUACUUCCUCCUAAAAAGCAACUUCCUUUAAAGUCAUCUAUCCCAAAAAAACUAGCAAAACUACAAACUCAUUCAAAUAAAGCUAGCCAACCAAAACUAGGUCCAACUGAGAACAGUUCAAAAACUCAAAGUAGGUCUAGGCAGUCACAAGUUUACCAAAAUAACUCUAUUCAAAAAAGGCCUCAUUUCAAGUCAACUAUUCACAAUAGACCCCAUUCAUUACAUCCUGGUCAAUUACGGUACUCUAAGAAACAGCCUCAAAAAUCCCAAUCUCCUCCAAAUCCAUCUGUUAAAAAGUGAUAAAGCCAUUCAAAUCUCUUUCAAAUACAGCCCUUCAGCAAAAACCUCAACUAACGAAGCAUAAUCCUAAUUCACACACUCUACAAAAAGCUAGCCUAAACAAGCCACAACCUAAUAAAUUUGUUAAAAGAAGAACCAGACAAAGAAAGCCUAAUUCAAAAGCACUUGUCCAAAAUAUACCAAGCCACACCAAAACUCAUCUAGAAGCACCUGGUGGAAGAAAACGUAUACAGCCGCUCAAUCCAAGAAAAUGUCUACAACCAUCUAGUCAAGGAAGACGUCCACAGUCAUCUAAUCGAAGACAACACCCACAUCCGCUUGGUCAAAAAAUACCAAAUCCACUAAUUAAAGUACCCAGACAAAUUAAGGCCACACAUUGUAUUAGGCCACACAUUCAAAACAAACCUGAAUCACACCACUAUCAUCCACAUGUACAUCUUUCUCCAGACAACCCAUAUCCAUCUCCCUUCAUUCCCAGCCUGAAACCUCAGGUGCAACCAACUAGCAAAGUGGUAAGCACCAGAACCCAAGUCUUAAACACAACUCCGUUUGCUGCCAUUGCCACCACAACUCCCCACUACACUAUCAGCUCCAACACAACCUCAGCUACAACCACAAACAAAAUAUCAUCUGAUCUCAUCUUCAAAAGUACAACUCCUUCUGAUAUCACAGUUUCCAGUCCUAAAACCCAAGUUCCAGUUACCAUUCCACUCACUGCUGCAACCACGUCUAAUGCUCCAACUACCGAGAUUUCACCUCCCCUUGUUACUGCCACUACUCUUCCUGCCACCAUGCAAACAACUCCUUUUACCAUACAUACCAUACUCAAGAUGACCACUGAGUCAGGAUAUGAAACAACAGAACUUCCCUACAGCAGCACUAACCCUGAUAAUAACUACAUAUAUGAAACUACAGAAUCUUAUUACUAUGAUGAAUUUGAUGUCUCUAAUUCUGAAAUUACAGCAUCCACCUAUACCACUCCAAAACCUGCCUCUACCACCAACUAAAUACCAGUUUUCUAAAGUAUAUUGCUGUUAACUUCAUGAUUAUAUCUUUUUCUUUAAAAUAAUUUUCCAUAGUAUUUAAAAAGACAAUAAAAAUGAAGCAAGUGAAAUUAUGAAGUAUUUUGUGAUUUCAUUAGAAAAGAACACCCUAGGUAGUCAUUCUAAAGUAUUACCCUCCUUUUCCACCUCCGCCACUGAGUGCUCUGAGUCCACCAAGUCCUCAGAGAAUUAGAUAAUUUAAAGUACAAAUAAAAACACUUCUAGAAUCAUCUUUAAGACUGAAAGCUUAGCAUUGGGUUGAAGAGGGGAAAGAAAUUAGUAGACUUUCAGGGAUUUCUUUGAAAAUUGUAAUUUAAUUUGCUCUAGUAGAAAAGGAUAAAGGAAAUAUUGUGAACUGCUUAAAGGUAUAGUGGCAGUCAGAUUAGUAUUGAGUCUUAUUCCUCUUCAAAUUCUUCAUCUAUUAAAAUGAUAAUAAUGCCUUAUCUUAUAAAAUAGUUGAGAAAUUCAAAAGAAAUGAUGAACCUGACAUAGGUACCUGGCACCACUUUAGAGUAACCAUUUAGAGUAACCACUAAAUGGUUGUUAUUGUCAGAUCAUGUGAAGUUAUUCUUUACACCUAGACAUGAAUUGGAACUUUCUCUGCUUUUUUCAUUGCACAUUAGCUGAGCACUUGGCAGGCAUUAUUCCCGCAGUGGGACAAUGUUGAUGUUGGCUUCUUUAGAACCCAUUCAUUCUGAUCUGUCACACCUUGGAAAACCAGGCUACCUUGCUCCAUACAAAAAGUCAGGUAGUUCGAUUAGGUAGAUAGGCUCUUCAGUCCUUAUUAGCUCUUGAUUUUUAUCAUUUUCUUUAGUGUGUCUUUCAGAGAUUCAAUGCAAAAUUGGAUAUUAAAGCAAAAUAUCACUUAGAGAAUACAGAUUAUAUGAAUUUAAGCUUCACUUUUGAGACUUAUACUCUAUCAAAUUUGCCCUCUAGGUUGAUUCUGCUUUUGAGGAAGGUCAAUAAAGUGAAAUAUUUUGGAAAAGAUUUGUGUCAUGUUAUGUCACAUGCUGUGUAAACUGGAUGAAAUACAGUACAGCAAAAGAAAUUUUUCUAAAUUUUUACAGAAUUUAUUUCUGAAAAUAGGUGACUAAAAUGUCAGUACAUACAUCAAAAGUACCACCAGGCACUGAAAAAAAUCACUGUUGACAUCUUUACCUAGUUUCUUCAAAAAAUACAUGUAAAUUCUCCUCUAAUUAGAGAGACAUUUUUAUUUUUGAAAACAUGUCUCUCUCCUCUGGGUUAUCUGUAUUUAAAAUGUUCUCUUCUUGGAUAGUGCUCAUUUAAAGUGGCAAAUUAUUUUGCUUCCCUUCUAGAGAUUGAAGUAUUUCUCUUUUUUAUGUCAAUCAAUGAAAGAUGUCUAGGACUCCCAAAUUAUUGAUCACCAUCUGGGCUUUUAUCCCCAUAUGGAUCUAUAUAUGUCCUAUUAAAACCAGAUCUCUCACCCUCCUGUUGGCCUCUACCUUUCCACUGUGCUCUCUAAACUCAAGUGAAAGUCAGUUGUGAGCACAAUACCAUGGGUUUUCAGUCUCUAUUCAGAAAGUUCCUGUCAUCCUAUUUCCCUAACUGGGACUAGGUUCCUCGAAGUAGACUUCCCAGCCUUGACUACUUUUUUCUCAUACCUCCAUGAAGCACAGGACCUGGAGAUAGGAUAUAUGGGUACCUCAUAGCCAUUCCUAGAUUAUUUCCAUUCUCUUUCCCUCAAAAACCCAUAAUUCCCUUAAAGUGUGUGUCAUCAGAGUUUACAAAUACUACUCUCCCUUUUUGUAGUUACCUGUUCUGCCUUCAAUCACUCUUCCAGUCACUGAACAUUUUACUUCCCAGAUCACUAACUUUUUCCCCACCAUUGCUUUUUCAUGCUUGGGGACUCCAACGAUCGCAUAGGAGAUUUGCUUAAAAUCUGGCCUCACUUCUUUCACUUCACAUCCAAUGAUUCUUCCCUCCACCCUUUCCCAUGGUUAAACCCUGGGAAUCAAUUACUGGACCUCUGCCAAAUUCCCAAUUCCAAGCUUUCUAUUCUGUAAUCACCAUCUUCUAUCUUUCCAGCUCCAGUACUACCAAUCUCAAUAAUCUUUGGUAUAUCUGGCCUUUAAUCAAUUCACCUCCCCAGCUGGGCCAAGCAAGGUCCAUCACCUCCCUUCUGUCCCUUUUUCUCUUCUUACAUAACUGUAGCCCAUUAAUAUUAUAUUUUUAUUUAUACAUGCUGAACACCUUCUUUUAUGUAUAUGUAUUUUUACAUAAAACUCUCACUCUGCACAAGCAUAAGGUAAACUUCAACAUCACUGCAUAUGCCCUUUUCUAAUUCACAAAAUUCCAGGCAUAUAUACAUUAUAACCAGAGUGUGAUGAAACAUUAGAAUAAAG
RNAcentral lists this long non-coding RNA (3962 nucleotides) under Canis lupus familiaris (dog). Its description in RNAcentral is "lncRNA (ENSCAFG00040004972.1)". Lineage: Eukaryota; Metazoa; Chordata; Mammalia; Carnivora; Canidae. The record is from RNAcentral.